This 256-nucleotide ribosomal RNA is filed under the name uncultured bacterium. Its description in RNAcentral is "partial 16S ribosomal RNA". It matches the Rfam family "Bacterial small subunit ribosomal RNA", at positions 521 to 776 of the family's 1533-position model. The record is from RNAcentral.
UAAUACGUAGGGUGCGAGCGUUAAUCGGAAUUACUGGGCGUAAAGCGUGCGCAGGCGGCCUGAUAAGUCAGAUGUGAAAUCCCCGAGCUCAACUUGGGAACUGCGUUUGAAACUAUCAAGCUAGAAUAUGUCAGAGGGGGGUAGAAUUCCACGUGUAGCAGUGAAAUGCGUAGAGAUGUGGAGGAAUACCAAUGGCGAAGGCAGCCCCCUGGGAUAAUAUUGACGCUCAUGCACGAAAGCGUGGGGAGCAAACAGG